AUUGAACGCUGGCGGCCUGCUUUACACAUGCAAGUCGGACGGCAGCACAGAGAAGCUUGCUUCUUGGGUGGCGAGUGGCGAACGGGUGAGUAAUAUAUCGGAACGUACCGAGUAAUGGGGGAUAACUAAUCGAAAGAUUAGCUAAUAACGCAUAUUCUCUGAGGAGGAAAGCAGGGGACCUUCGGGCCUUGCGUUAUUCGAGCGGCCGAUAUCUGAUUAGCUAGUUGGUGGGGUAAAGGCCUACCAAGGCGACGAUCAGUAGCGGGUCUGAGAGGAUGAUCCGCCACACUGGGACUGAGACACGGCCCAGACUCCUACGGGAGGCAGCAGUGGGGAAUUUUGGACAAUGGGCGCAAGCCUGAUCCAGCCAUGCCGCGUGUCUGAAGAAGGCCUUCGGGUUGUAAAGGACUUUUGUCGGGGAAGAAAAGGCUGUUGCUAAUAUCGACAGCUGAUGACGGUACCUGAAGAAUAAGCACCGGCUAACUACGUG
This 490-nucleotide ribosomal RNA is filed under the name uncultured bacterium. Its description in RNAcentral is "partial 16S ribosomal RNA". It matches the Rfam family "Bacterial small subunit ribosomal RNA", at positions 30 to 507 of the family's 1533-position model. The record is from RNAcentral.